RNAcentral lists this ribosomal RNA (452 nucleotides) under Planctomycete enrichment culture. RNAcentral's name for it is "bacterial SSU rRNA". It matches the Rfam family "Bacterial small subunit ribosomal RNA", at positions 346 to 796 of the family's 1533-position model. Lineage: Bacteria; Pseudomonadati; Planctomycetota; Planctomycetia; Planctomycetales. The record is from RNAcentral.
GUGCACCAGGCGAGAAUCUUCGGCAAUGGGCGCAAGCCUGACCGAGCGACGCCGCGUGCGGGAUGAAGGCCUUCGGGUUGUAAUCCGCUGUCAGAGGGGAGGAAAUGGCGGCCCUCAGGGUCGUCUUGACCAAACCUCAGAGGAAGGACGGGCUAAGUUCGUGCCAGCAGCCGCGGUAAGACGAACCGUCCAAACGUUAUUCGGAAUUACUGGGCUUAAAGGGUGCGUAGGCGGCCUGGCAAGUUGGGUGUGAAAGCCCUCGGCUCAACCGAGGAAUUGCGCCCAAAACUGCUAGGCUUGAGGGAGAUAGAGGUGAGCGGAACUUGGGGUGGAGCGGUGAAAUGCAUUGAUAUCCCAAGGAACACCAGAGGCGAAAGCGGCUCACUGGGUCUCUUCUGACGCUGAGGCACGAAAGCUAGGGGAGCGAACGGGAUUAGAUACCCACGUAGUCC